This 72-nucleotide transfer RNA is filed under the name Chloroflexota bacterium. Its description in RNAcentral is "Chloroflexi bacterium (oil production facility metagenome) tRNA-Met". It matches the Rfam family "tRNA". Rfam says of the family: Transfer RNA (tRNA) molecules are approximately 80 nucleotides in length. The record is from RNAcentral. Lineage: Bacteria; Bacillati; Chloroflexota.
GGCGACGUAGCUCAGCGGUAGAGCAGGGGACUCAUAAGCCCUUGGUCACUAGUUCGAAUCUAGUCGUCGCCA